This 524-nucleotide ribosomal RNA is filed under the name uncultured bacterium. RNAcentral describes it as "bacterial SSU rRNA". It matches the Rfam family "Bacterial small subunit ribosomal RNA", at positions 355 to 896 of the family's 1533-position model. The record is from RNAcentral.
UGGGGAAUCUUGCACAAUGGGGGAAACCCUGAUGCAGCGACGCCGCGUGAGCGAUGAAGUCCUUCGGGGCGUAAAGCUCUUUCAGUGGGAACGAUAAUGACGGUACCCACAGAAGAAGCUGCGGCUAACUACGUGCCAGCAGCCGCGGUAAUACGGAGGUUCCAAGCGUUGUUCGGAAUUACUGGGCGUAAAGGGGGCGCAGGCGGUCAAGUCAGUCUAAAGUGGAAGCCCGGGGCUCAACCUCGGAAAGCCUUUAGAUACUGCUUGACUCGAGUACGUGAGAGGAAGGCGGAAUUCAAGGCGUAGCGGUGAAAUGCUUAGAUAUCUUGAGGAACACCAAUGGCGAAAGCAGCCUCUGGCACGAAACUGACGCUGAGGCCCGAAAGCGUGGGGAGCGAACAGGAUUAGAUACCCUGGUAGUCCACGCUGUAAACGAUGGGCACUAGGUGUCCGGGGUAUUGACCCCCUGGGUGCCGCAGCUAACGCAUUAAGUGCCCCGCCUGGGGAGUACGGUCGCAAGAUUA